This 79-nucleotide non-coding RNA is filed under the name Paraburkholderia caribensis. RNAcentral describes it as "ncS54". It matches the Rfam family "Burkholderia sRNA 54". Rfam says of the family: Identified by RNA-seq, RACE and Northern blot. Strongly expressed in biofilm. The record is from RNAcentral. Lineage: Bacteria; Pseudomonadati; Pseudomonadota; Betaproteobacteria; Burkholderiales; Burkholderiaceae.
CUUUCUCUCAGGUUCUGGUAAAGCCCUCGGAAUGGCUGGAACCUGGUUGGCCGCACCCCCCAGUGUGCGGUCUUUUUUA